Molecule: ribosomal RNA, 253 nt
Filed under: uncultured bacterium
Lineage: Bacteria
Description: partial 16S ribosomal RNA
Rfam family: Bacterial small subunit ribosomal RNA
Source: RNAcentral
UACAGAGGUCUCAAGCGUUGUUCGGAUUCAUUGGGCGUAAAGGGUGCGUAGGCGGCGCGGUAAGUCGGGUGUGAAAUCUUGGAGCUUAACUCCGAAACUGCAUUUGAUACUGGUGUGCUUGAGGACUGGAGAGGAGACUGGAAUUCAUGGUGUAGCAGUGAAAUGCGUAGAGAUCAUGAGGAAGACCAGUGGCGAAGGCGGGUCUCUGGACAGUUCCUGACACUGAGGCACGAAGGCCAGGGGAGCAAACGGG